CGAAAGCCUGACGGAGCAAGACCGCGUGGGGGAAGAAGGCUCUUGGGUUGUCAACCCCUUUUCUCAGGGAAGAAGUUCUGACGGUACCUGAGGAAUAAGCAUCGGCUAACUCCGUGCCAGCAGCCGCGGUAAGACGGAGGAUGCAAGCGUUAUCCGGAAUUAUUGGGCGUAAAGCGUCCGUAGGUGGCUUUUCAAGUCGGCGGUCAAAGACCGGGGCUUAACUCCGGAAAGGCCGUGGAAACUGAAAGGCUAGAGAAAGGUAGGGGUAGGGGGAAUUCCCGGUGUAGCGGUGAAAUGCGUAGAGAUCGGGAAGAACACCGGUGGCGAAAGCGCCCUACUGGACCUUAUCUGACACUGAGGGACGAAAGCUAGGGGAGCG
Molecule: ribosomal RNA, 379 nt
Filed under: uncultured cyanobacterium
Lineage: Bacteria; Bacillati; Cyanobacteriota
Description: bacterial SSU rRNA
Rfam family: Bacterial small subunit ribosomal RNA
Source: RNAcentral